This 249-nucleotide transfer-messenger RNA is filed under the name Chloroflexota bacterium. RNAcentral describes it as "Chloroflexi bacterium partial transfer-messenger RNA". It matches the Rfam family "transfer-messenger RNA", at positions 1 to 275 of the family's 374-position model. Rfam says of the family: Bacterial tmRNA, also known as 10Sa RNA or SsrA, is named for its dual tRNA and mRNA-like properties. Its role is to liberate the mRNA from a stalled ribosome. The record is from RNAcentral. Lineage: Bacteria; Bacillati; Chloroflexota.
GGGGACGCGCGGAUUCGACAGGGGAUGUCACCGCGGGAUUGCAGGUCGGGGCGCCUUCAUCCUCGUUAAAAAGAUGGCAAAAAAGUAACUGGCAACAAAGAGCUAGCACUAGCCGCUUAAGCGGCUACGUCCUUCACGUCCGAUCCCCGAAGGUAGUGAAAGGGCGACAAUAGACGGGGUGCAGUCAGUUAGAUGCCGAUAUAUCUGGCUAAAGACUAUCGGCUAGUCUGUUUCAAGCGCUAGCCGGUC